RNAcentral lists this ribosomal RNA (711 nucleotides) under Corynebacterium xerosis. RNAcentral's name for it is "bacterial SSU rRNA". It matches the Rfam family "Bacterial small subunit ribosomal RNA", at positions 21 to 746 of the family's 1533-position model. The record is from RNAcentral. Lineage: Bacteria; Bacillati; Actinomycetota; Actinomycetes; Mycobacteriales; Corynebacteriaceae.
GGCUCAGGACGAACGCUGGCGGCGUGCUUAACACAUGCAAGUCGAACGGUAAGGCCCCAGCUUGCUGGGGUACACGAGUGGCGAACGGGUGAGUAACACGUGGGUGACCUGCCCCGCACUUCGGGAUAAGCCUGGGAAACUGGGUCUAAUACCGGAUAGGACCGCACCGUGAGGGUGUGGUGGAAAGUUUUUCGGUGUGGGAUGGGCCCGCGGCCUAUCAGCUUGUUGGUGGGGUAAUGGCCUACCAAGGCGGCGACGGGUAGCCGGCCUGAGAGGGUGGACGGCCACAUUGGGACUGAGACACGGCCCAGACUCCUACGGGAGGCAGCAGUGGGGAAUAUUGCACAAUGGGCGGAAGCCUGAUGCAGCGACGCCGCGUGGGGGAUGACGGCCUUCGGGUUGUAAACUCCUUUCACCAUCGACGAAGGUUUUCUGACGGUAGAUGGAGAAGAAGCACCGGCUAACUACGUGCCAGCAGCCGCGGUAAUACGUAGGGUGCGAGCGUUGUCCGGAAUUACUGGGCGUAAAGAGCUCGUAGGUGGUUUGUCGCGUCGUCUGUGAAAUUCCGGGGCUUAACUCCGGGCGUGCAGGCGAUACGGGCAUAACUUGAGUACUGUAGGGGAGACUGGAAUUCCUGGUGUAGCGGUGAAAUGCGCAGAUAUCAGGAGGAACACCGGUGGCGAAGGCGGGUCUCUGGGCAGUAACUGACGC